This 1337-nucleotide ribosomal RNA is filed under the name uncultured bacterium. Its description in RNAcentral is "bacterial SSU rRNA". It matches the Rfam family "Bacterial small subunit ribosomal RNA", at positions 28 to 1381 of the family's 1533-position model. The record is from RNAcentral.
GGCGAACGCUGGCGGCGUGCUUAACACAUGCAAGUCGAACGGAAAGGCCCUUCGGGGUACUCGAGUGGCGAACGGGUGAGUAACACGUGGGUGAUCUGCCCUGCACUUUGGGAUAAGCCUGGGAAACUGGGUCUAAUACCGAAUAGGACCACGCGCUUCAUGGUGUGUGGUGGAAAGCUUUUGCGGUGUGGGAUGGGCCCGCGGCCUAUCAGCUUGUUGGUGGGGUAAUGGCCUACCAAGGCGACGACGGGUAGCCGGCCUGAGAGGGUGACCGGCCACACUGGGACUGAGAUACGGCCCAGACUCCUACGGGAGGCAGCAGUGGGGAAUAUUGCACAAUGGGCGCAAGCCUGAUGCAGCGACGCCGCGUGAGGGAUGACGGCCUUCGGGUUGUAAACCUCUUUCAAUAGGGACGAAGCGCAAGUGACGGUACCUAUAGAAGAAGCACCGGCCAACUACGUGCCAGCAGCCGCGGUAAUACGUAGGGUGCGAGCGUUGUCCGGAAUUACUGGGCGUAAAGAGCUCGUAGGUGGUUUGUCGCGUUGUUCGUGAAAACUCACAGCUUAACUGUGGGCGUGCGGGCGAUACGGGCAGACUAGAGUACUGCAGGGGAGACUGGAAUUCCUGGUGUAGCGGUGGAAUGCGCAGAUAUCAGGAGGAACACCGGUGGCGAAGGCGGGUCUCUGGGCAGUAACUGACGCUGAGGAGCGAAAGCGUGGGGAGCGAACAGGAUUAGAUACCCUGGUAGUCCACGCCGUAAACGGUGGGUACUAGGUGUGGGUUCCUUCCUUGGGAUCCGUGCCGUAGCUAACGCAUUAAGUACCCCGCCUGGGGAGUACGGCCGCAAGGCUAAAACUCAAAGGAAUUGACGGGGGCCCGCACAAGCGGCGGAGCAUGUGGAUUAAUUCGAUGCAACGCGAAGAACCUUACCUGGGUUUGACAUGCACAGGACGCCGGCAGAGAUGUCGGUUCCCUUGUGGCCUGUGUGCAGGUGGUGCAUGGCUGUCGUCAGCUCGUGUCGUGAGAUGUUGGGUUAAGUCCCGCAACGAGCGCAACCCUUGUCCUAUGUUGCCAGCGGGUUAUGCCGGGGACUCGUAGGAGACUGCCGGGGUCAACUCGGAGGAAGGUGGGGAUGACGUCAAGUCAUCAUGCCCCUUAUGUCCAGGGCUUCACACAUGCUACAAUGGCCGGUACAAAGGGCUGCGAUGCCGUGAGGUGGAGCGAAUCCUUUCAAAGCCGGUCUCAGUUCGGAUCGGGGUCUGCAACUCGACCCCGUGAAGUCGGAGUCGCUAGUAAUCGCAGAUCAGCAACGCUGCGGUGAAUACGUUCCCGGGCCU